This 472-nucleotide ribosomal RNA is filed under the name uncultured bacterium. RNAcentral describes it as "bacterial SSU rRNA". It matches the Rfam family "Bacterial small subunit ribosomal RNA", at positions 28 to 475 of the family's 1533-position model. The record is from RNAcentral.
GACGAACGCUGGCGGCGUGCCUAAUACAUGCAAGUAGAACGCACAGUUUAUACCGUAGCUUGCUACACCAUAGACUGUGAGUUGCGAACGGGUGAGUAACGCGUAGGUAACCUGCCUGGUAGCGGGGGGAUAACUAUUGGAAACGAUAGCUAAUACCGCAUAAUAUUAAUUAUUGCAUGAUAAUUAAUUGAAAGGUGCAAUUGCACCACUACCAGAUGGACCUGCGUUGUAUUAGCUAGUAGGUGAGGUAACGGCUCACCUAGGCGACGAUACAUAGCCGACCUGAGAGGGUGAUCGGCCACACUGGGACUGAGACACGGCCCAGACUCCUACGGGAGGCAGCAGUAGGGAAUCUUCGGCAAUGGACGAAAGUCUGACCGAGCAACGCCGCGUGAGUGAAGAAGGUUUUCGGAUCGUAAAGCUCUGUUGUAAGAGAAGAACGGGUGUGAGAGGGAAAGUUCACACUGGACGG